CCUGUGGGUCAACUUGUGCUCACAUCUGCUCACCUGCCUCAUGAAGCGCUCCACAGCACCUGUGCACAGAUAGCUCAGAAGCUAGCAGCCCCGCGUGCGCAAUCAAUGAACAUCACAGCAUCUGUUUUUUUCUGAGGGUUGCAGGGGACUGGAGCCAAUCACAGCUGUGACAGGAUAAAAGUCACAUGGAGCUCUUAAACCACACUAAUGAUGAAAGGCCAACCACUGAAAUCAGUCUCCGUAUUGGGCUUCAAAGCAGAGGGAAGAAACUGUUGGAUGAUGCCAGGAACCUAAGUUCUCUGCUUGGAGCGCAACCACAAAAUGCUUCAGUCUGUUUCUCCUAUUUCCAGCCAAGAAAAGUGCUUACCUGUUCUCCAUGAACAGGAAAUCCCACCUGCCAGCUGAGUACCUUCUUGUAGACUGUUCCGGAAACAAACGAUGUUUUCAGUCGCUGGCCUGUGAAAUAUCCAGCCUCUUCCACCACUCACCAGUUGGUUACAAAGGCCAGGAUACAAGUCUCUCAAUAAACCUUCCAAAACUCCUG
This is a long non-coding RNA of Oreochromis aureus, 544 nucleotides long. RefSeq lists it as uncharacterized. NCBI's taxonomy places the organism in Eukaryota, Metazoa, Chordata, Actinopteri, Cichliformes, Cichlidae. The transcript has 5 exons. The record is from RefSeq and is a predicted model, not a curated record.